This 503-nucleotide ribosomal RNA is filed under the name uncultured bacterium. Its description in RNAcentral is "bacterial SSU rRNA". It matches the Rfam family "Bacterial small subunit ribosomal RNA", at positions 355 to 874 of the family's 1533-position model. The record is from RNAcentral.
UGGGGAAUAUUGCACAAUGGGGGAAACCCUGAUGCAGCAACGCCGCGUGAGUGAUGAAGGCCUUCGGGUUGUAAAGCUCUGUCUUCAGGGACGAUAAUGACGGUACCUGAGGAGGAAGCCACGGCUAACUACGUGCCAGCAGCCGCGGUAAUACGUAGGUGGCAAGCGUUGUCCGGAUUUACUGGGCGUAAAGGGAGCGUAGGCGGAUACUUAAGUGGGAUGUGAAAUACCUGGGCUUAACUUGGGUGCUGCAUUCCAAACUGGGUGUCUAGAGUGUUGGAGAGGAAAGUGGAAUUCCUAGUGUAGCGGUGAAAUGCGUAGAGAUUAGGAAGAACACCAGUGGCGAAGGCGACUUUCUGGACAAUAACUGACGCUGAGGCUCGAAAGCGUGGGGAGCAAACAGGAUUAGAUACCCUGGUAGUCCACGCCGUAAACGAUGGGUACUAGGUGUAGGGGGUAUCGACUCCCCCUGUGCCGCCGUUAACACAAUAAGUACCCCGCCU